UACGGAGGGGGCUAGCGUUGUUCGGAAUUACUGGGCGUAAAGCGCGCGUAGGCGGACCUGCAAGUCGGGGGUGAAAGCCCGAGGCUCAACCUCGGAACUGCCUUCGAUACUGCGGGUCUCGAGUCCGGGAGAGGUGAGUGGAAUUCCUAGUGUAGAGGUGAAAUUCGUAGAUAUUAGGAAGAACACCGGUGGCGAAGGCGGCGACCUGGGUAGAUACUGACGCUGAGGAGCGAAAGCGUGGGGAGCAAACAGG
Molecule: ribosomal RNA, 253 nt
Filed under: uncultured bacterium
Lineage: Bacteria
Description: partial 16S ribosomal RNA
Rfam family: Bacterial small subunit ribosomal RNA
Source: RNAcentral